AUGCUCCUCGGCUGGCACCCAACGUCUGAGAAACUGGGGGUGUGGGGCGCCGGGGGAAGCCCUAAGGGAACACUCGGGAGGCCAGGAAGCCGAGCCCUCAGGAGCACCUCGGGGCGUGAGGAGAAGGGGGGCGGGUGCUGCCCCAUGACUCUCCCUGCUUGUCCUACCGAUGCCCGCUCUGCUGGGCGGACCCUGUUCUCUCCCAGGGACUCCCAGCCGGGGUGCUGUUCACAUCUGGGGCCCGAUCACCCUCGGCUGUUAGGGGCAGUCCUGUGUUCUGUGGGAUGCGAAGCAGCACCCCCAGUUCUACCCGUUCCACGCCAGGAGCCCCUGUGGAAGGCACAGUGCCCCCCCCAAAGAUGUCCAUGCCUUCAGAGCAAACCCGCACAUGUGCAGGUCCGCACAGCGGGGCCUAGCAGCAGCCCGCGCCACCCGGGGGCCCACGGAAGAGGCAGGCGGAUGCCACGUGCUGGCUUUGGAGGCCGAGGAAGGGGCCUCGCGCCAAGGGGUGCCGACCGCUUCUAGAGGCUGCAGCAGCCGGGAACACACUCUCCCCAAGAGCCUCCAGGAGGGAGGGAGCCCACCCACACCCUGAUCUUGGCCUCGUGAGACCCGUCUUGGACUCCUCAGUGAAGUGCUUGGGGACGUGAGGUCUGGGGCGGCGAGCUCUUGGGGCAGCAGAUCCGUCUCCAGGUGGUGGGUGAGUGACCUCUCCUGGCUCCACGCUCGACUGGAGAAGGCCACGGGCUCUGUGCUGUCCCCAACCCGCCCACGUGGGGCCGGCCCUGCAGCCUCCCUAACCAUGGUGACCGUGAAGUGGCACAGGGUGCUGCCCCGCUGGAGGCCCCUCCACUCUGCCCACUGUGGUGGGUGCUGGGGGCUGGUCCACCUGGCAGCCGGCUCCCAGCCCGGGAGAGACCCUGAGACCCCGUGAAAGGCAGAGGGCUGGUCAUGAGUGUCCCGGACUCCCCGCCGUCUGACUGCAGCCUCUCGACACGCCCCCGGUGACACCAGAACCGGUAGGGGCAGCCCACUGGAC
This 1039-nucleotide long non-coding RNA is filed under the name Canis lupus familiaris (dog). RNAcentral's name for it is "lncRNA (ENSCAFG00845023909.1)". Lineage: Eukaryota; Metazoa; Chordata; Mammalia; Carnivora; Canidae. The record is from RNAcentral.